Molecule: long non-coding RNA, 90 nt
Organism: Drosophila hydei
Lineage: Eukaryota; Metazoa; Arthropoda; Insecta; Diptera; Drosophilidae
Exons: 3
Source: RefSeq, a predicted model, not a curated record
CGAUAAGAACAUUUUUACUUUUACGAGGACGGUUAAAUUUUUCAAUAUGUUGAGUUUUGCGAUUUUCACAGAAUUACGGACAUCGGCCAA